AAGGGAAUAACUGGGUCAAAUGGUGGUUUCAUUCCAAGUUUUCUGGGUAAUCUCAAGACUGCCUUCCAAAGUAGUUGCACCAAUUUGCAGUCCUACCAGCUGU
RNAcentral lists this microRNA precursor (103 nucleotides) under Marmota monax (woodchuck). The record is from RNAcentral. Lineage: Eukaryota; Metazoa; Chordata; Mammalia; Rodentia; Sciuridae.